AAUAGUUUUUUAAAUGGAAACUGGGAUGAAAGGAAGGAUGAGAUUUAGACUGUCUUAAAUUAAAUUAGUGAAUUUAUUAAUUAAGUAAAAAUACUUAGAUGAAAAUAUGGGACGAGAAGACCCUAUAGAAUUUUAUAUGAAUUUAUUAAUAAGUUAAGAAUUAUUAUAUAUAAGAAAAUUCAUAUUUUGUUGGGAGGAUAAUUAAAUUAAGAAAACUUUAAUAUAAAUAAAAUCAUUAAUUUAUGUGGAGUAUUAUGAGUGAUAAUAAUAUGUAGUAGAAUUAAUUACCUUAGGGAUAACAGCGUAAUAUCUUUAGAGAGAUCUUAUUAAUAAAGAUGAUUGU
RNAcentral lists this ribosomal RNA (343 nucleotides) under Pheidole sp. ALM023. Its description in RNAcentral is "partial 16S large subunit ribosomal RNA". The record is from RNAcentral. Lineage: Eukaryota; Metazoa; Arthropoda; Insecta; Hymenoptera; Formicidae.